UACGGAGGGGGCUAGCGUUGUUCGGAAUUACUGGGCGUAAAGCGCACGUAGGCGGCUUUGCAAGUUAGAGGUGAAAGCCCGGGGCUCAACUCCGGAAUUGCCUUUAAAACUGCAUCGCUUGAAUUGUGGAGAGGUAAGUGGAAUUCCGAGUGUAGAGGUGAAAUUCGUAGAUAUUCGGAAGAACACCAGUGGCGAAGGCGACUUACUGGACACAUAUUGACGCUGAGGUGCGAAAGCGUGGGGAGCAAACAGG
This 253-nucleotide ribosomal RNA is filed under the name uncultured bacterium. Its description in RNAcentral is "partial 16S ribosomal RNA". It matches the Rfam family "Bacterial small subunit ribosomal RNA", at positions 524 to 776 of the family's 1533-position model. The record is from RNAcentral.